AUGCUUCCUCAUUGGUCUUAUGUUUGUUGGCAAUCGACCAUAUGUCUGCAUUACGUUUAUAUCAUUGGCACUCGGUUUUUCUGGCGCAAUAUCCAUCACUUCGUUGCAAAAUCCUCAUGAUCUUUCACCUAACUUUGCUACAACCAUUUUUGCCUUCAUUCACACAUUCGGAUCGACACAGGGCUUCAUCGCUCCGUUGGUCAUCGCUCAUUUUACGAAGACAAAGAGUUCCGACGAAGAGUGGCAAUACGUUUUUCUGAUUGGGGCCGCUAUGCUCAUAGCCAGUGCCAUAAUUUUUAUUGUGUUUGGUAGUGUCGAAAUACAGAAAUGGAACAAAAUCCAUGGUGAAAAGACGGAGAUGAAACUACUAAAUGUAUCCGCGCCAUUGGCUGAAUUCGAAAAGGCUGAACUGUAGUUCAGUCGUAUGGGAUUCAGUUUCCAGUCCGAAAGGCUGUAUACAUAAUAGAAAAUGUAAGAUUAGCGUUAUACCCUCAAAAGUAGUUAUCUUACUUAUGUCGAAAUAAAAGAGAGAAGAA
Bradysia coprophila is the source of this 536-nucleotide long non-coding RNA. The record is from RefSeq and is a predicted model, not a curated record. Lineage: Eukaryota; Metazoa; Arthropoda; Insecta; Diptera; Sciaridae.